CUAUCUGGCCAGGCAUCGGAACGCCUGGCCCAGCCGCGACCAGCAUGCAUGUAUCCUGCGUAUCACUCCGUUGGCUGUGGCGGAGAUGAUGCUGAUGGAGAGGAUGGGGAUGGGGAUGAUGAUGCCGGUGAUUUUUAGUGUGCUUCCUAGGGCUGGUGCUGGCUGUUCCUGGCCGUUCCUGGGCCGUUCCUGGCUUGUUUCACGCGGCGGCCAGCCUAUCAGCGCCGGCUGCAGCCCGCAUCUCUUGGCUCAUUUCGCAUGUUUUCAUUUCCUGGGCAGAUUGAAUGGGGAACGACGCUGGCUUGUCGCUGUGUAGCCGUCGCUGGCUCUGGCUCUGGCUCUGUCGCUGGUGCCUUUGUCCUUCUGCUUGUUCUCCCUCUCCCUCUUCCUCUUCCUCUUCUUUCUCUCCUCUCUCACACUCUCCUUUAAAUAUCAACCUUCCUUCCGCCGUCUCUCUUUCGGCUUCUUCCCUGCCUGUCAUCCCGCCUUGUCUUCUUCGCUUGUCUAUCCUUGCUUGUUGCUGUGCACUUUUCGCUCCUUCAAAGUGUGUCUGCCAGCUUGCUGUUCCUGUCGCUCCUUUCGGUGCCAGAAUCCUGUAUACACUCUCUCGCUCUCCCUCCCCUCUCACUCUCUGUUCGGUCUGCCUUGGUCAGAUUCUGAUAACACCCCCCCCCAACUUCCAACUCUCCCUCUCACUCACUAUCCCCCCACUCACUCACAGUUGAUCUGUGCGUGAAAGGCAAAAGAAAAAAGAAGGAAUCACAGUCGAACACAAAAACAAUCGAGAGAUUCGCCAAGUUAUCUCUGUCGCGUCCUUCGUUUGUUCAACAGUUUCUUCUUCUGUUUCCCAUUUUUACCCCUGAUUGUCCUGGCUGAUAUUCCAAUCCCGGCGACGACGACUUGACGACGACGUCCCCACGACCCCUGACAAUAUUAUCUUGGAUAUCUCUUCCUAUUGCGGUAGAAGAGAUAAGAAAAACAAACCCAAAAAGACAAGUUUUAUCAAAGAAGCUCGAGAAAGGGAUUUAUUUGUUAUUUACAUCAAGAUAACCAUGCGAUCCUCCGUCCUUCUAUCUGCCCUCUGGGCCGCUGGCGCGCUCUCCUCCCCGCUGAUGCCCAGAGCCUACGUGACCGAUGUCACCAUCGUCACUGUCACCGAAUACGUAACUGCCGGCGCCGUCACUCCCACGCCAACUCCAACUCCAGUUCCCUCUCCUCCCCCAAAGGAUGAGGGCUCAUAUCCUACUCCAGAAUCUGAGCCCCAGCCCCAGCCCCAGGCCCAGUCCAAGCCCAAGCCCAAGCCGCAACCAAAACCACAGCCAAAACCAGAGCCAAAACCACAACCCAAGCCUCAACCAGGCCCCGGCAAUGACUACCAGUCCAAGGUGCUCUACCACCACAACAUCCAUCGCUCCAACCACUCCGCCAAUGCGCUCGGUUGGUCCAGCACCCUCGCUGGCUACGCUCAGCAGAUUGCCUCCAAAUGCGUCUUCGAGCAUGAUACCUCCGUCGGCACCGAAUCCUACGGCCAAAACAUCGGCUACGGCGUCACGCCCGAGGAAAUUGGCAAGAUGAUUACCAACAUGAUGUACAACGACGAGGCCGGCCUGUACGCGGGCCUCUACGGCCAGGCCAACCCAGACAUGAGCAAUUUCCAUCACUGGGGCCAUUUCAGCCAGAUCGUGUGGAAGGACACUAAUACCGUCGGCUGCGCUACCGUCAAGUGCUCCAACAAUCUGCGCUGGAAUACCGUUUGCAACUAUGGACCCCCUGGCAACUUCGGCGGCAGAUAUGCUCAGAAUGUCGGCCGACCACAAGGUGCUGCGAUGGCUGUUGCGUAGUUUUUCGCUUCACUUCAUUUUCACUUUGCUUUCUUGCUUGCUACGCUUGCAACUGGUGUUUUUUUUAACUUCUUUAAAUCCGCUUCCUUCUACUUGAUUUAUUUACGUCUUCGUUUCCUUUCUCCUUUCGCUUUCUGUGAAUAAAAUAUUUGUAGUAGCGGUUUUAUUUUAAACUCGGGGGUGGUGCCGGUGGAGGGGGUGUUUGAUGUGUAUUCGUGUGCAUAUAUGUAUGGUAUGUAUGUAUGUAUCUAAGGGGCUGGCCAACACAUCCACAUAUACAAGUCAAACCCCUUUUCCUCCAGAGGAUCCCCCGACUCUCGACACCAGUGCAGUCAAGUCAAAGCCAGUCCCGUUCGUCCAGAUCCAAGCUUAUAAGAUCCAACAAUCCAAUCUACAUUUACGGUUUACGAUCUACGAUUCCUAUCGUUCAUCGACUCACUGCGACUGUGACAAACGAUUUGUUUUAUAUUCUAUUACUUAUUUUAUUCUUUUAUCCUUCUUUACGUGACUUAUAUUUUCACAGUAUAACUAGUUAUCUUCUCAGCUUGUAUUUAACAUAUCAUUUACUUAGUUACAUCUAUCUAUCUAUACAUCUUCCCCUCCCUG
This 2447-nucleotide small RNA is filed under the name Histoplasma capsulatum var. duboisii H88. RNAcentral describes it as "Histoplasma capsulatum H88 hypothetical RNA". Lineage: Eukaryota; Fungi; Ascomycota; Eurotiomycetes; Onygenales; Ajellomycetaceae. The record is from RNAcentral.